CCUACGGGUGGCAGCAGUGGGGAAUAUUGCACAAUGGGGGGAACCCUGAUGCAGCAACGCCGCGUGGGUGAAGAAGUACUUCGGUAUGUAAAGCCCUGUCAGCAGGGAAGAAAAUGACGGUACCUGACCAAGAAGCCCCGGCUAACUACGUGCCAGCAGCCGCGGCAAUACGUCGGGGGCAAGCGUUAUCCGGAUUUACGGGGUGUAAAGGGAGCGUAGACGGCAAGGCAAGUCUGGAGUGAAAGCCCGUGGCUCAACCACGGGACUGCAUUGGAAACUGGGUUGCUUGAGUGCAGGAGGGGUAAGCGGAAUUCCUGGUGUAGCGGUGAAAUGCGUAGAUAUUAGGAGGAACACCGGUGGCGAAGGCGGCUUACUGGACUGUAACUGACGUUGAGGCUCGAAGGCGUGGGGAGCAAACAGGAUUAGAUACCCCAGUAGUC
This 440-nucleotide ribosomal RNA is filed under the name uncultured bacterium. RNAcentral's name for it is "partial 16S ribosomal RNA". It matches the Rfam family "Bacterial small subunit ribosomal RNA", at positions 338 to 795 of the family's 1533-position model. The record is from RNAcentral.